CCCGGGCCUUGUACACACCGCCCGUCACACCACGAAAGUCGGCAAUACCCGAAGCCGGUGGCCUAACCCGCAUGGGAGGGAGCCGUCGAAGGUAGGGUCGAUGAUUGGGGUG
RNAcentral lists this ribosomal RNA (112 nucleotides) under uncultured bacterium. RNAcentral describes it as "partial 16S ribosomal RNA". It matches the Rfam family "Bacterial small subunit ribosomal RNA", at positions 1373 to 1482 of the family's 1533-position model. The record is from RNAcentral.